UGCAAGUCGAACGGGCUCUUCGGAGCAAGUGGCGGACGGGUGAGUAACGCGUGAGAAUGUGCCUUGAGGAUGGGGAUAACAAUAGGAAACUAAUGCUAAGACCCAAUGUGCCUUAAGUGGUGAAAAAUGAAAAUUGCCUGAAGAGGAGCUCGCGUCUGAUUAGCUAGUUGGGGUGGUAAAAGCGCACCAAGGCGACGAUCAGUAGCUGGUCUGAGAGGAUGAGCAGCCACACUGGGACUGAGACACGGCCCAGACUCCUACGGGAGGCAGCAGUGGGGAAUUUUCCGCAAUGGGCGAAAGCCUGACGGAGCAAUACCGCGUGAGGGAGGAAGGCUCUUGGGUUGUAAACCUCAAAACUUAGGGAAGAAAAAAAUGACGGUACCUAAUUUAAGCAUCGGCUAACUCCGUGCCAGCAGCCGCGGUAAUACG
This 429-nucleotide ribosomal RNA is filed under the name uncultured bacterium. RNAcentral's name for it is "bacterial SSU rRNA". It matches the Rfam family "Bacterial small subunit ribosomal RNA", at positions 56 to 527 of the family's 1533-position model. The record is from RNAcentral.